RNAcentral lists this ribosomal RNA (440 nucleotides) under uncultured bacterium. RNAcentral's name for it is "partial 16S ribosomal RNA". It matches the Rfam family "Bacterial small subunit ribosomal RNA", at positions 338 to 795 of the family's 1533-position model. The record is from RNAcentral.
CCUACGGGGGGCAGCAGUGGGGGAUAUUGCACAAUGGGGGAAACCCUGAUGCAGCGACGCCGCGUGGGUGAAGAAGCGCCUCGGCGCGUAAAGCCCUGUCAGCAGGGAAGAAAAUGACGGUACCUGAAGAAGAAGCCCCGGCUAACUACGUGCCAGCAGCCGCGGUAAUACGGAGGGGGCAAGCGUUAUCCGGAUUUACUGGGUGUAAAGGGGGCGCAGACGGCGAUGCAAGCCAGGAGUGAAAGCCCAGGGCCCAACCCCGGGACUGCUCUUGGAACUGCGUGGCUAGAGUGCAGGAGGGGCAGGCGGAAUUCCUGGUGUAGCGGUGAAAUGCGUAGAUAUCAGGAGGAACACCGGUGGCGAAGGCGGCCUGCUGGACGGCAACUGACGUUGAGGCCCGAAAGCGUGGGGAGCAAACAGGAUUAGAUACCCUUGUAGUC